CCCUUAGAUGUUCUGGGCCACACGCGCGCUACACUGAUGCAUUCAACGAGUCUAAAACCUGGUCUGAUAGGGCUGGGUAAUCUUUUGAAUGUGCAUCGUGAUUGGGAUAGAUGAUUGCAAUUCUUCAUCUUCAACGAGGAAUGCCUAGUAAACGCAAGUCAUCAGCUUGCAUUGAUUACGUCCCUGCCCUUUGUACACACCGCCCGUCGCUCCUACCGAUUGAAUGUUCCGAUGAAUACCAUGGACUGAGAGUAUGAAUGGGUUCGCCUAUUUCUGCUUCUCGGGAAGUGGAGUAAAUCUUAACAUUUAGAGGAAGGAGAAGUCGUAACA
RNAcentral lists this ribosomal RNA (330 nucleotides) under uncultured eukaryote. RNAcentral describes it as "partial 18S ribosomal RNA". It matches the Rfam family "Eukaryotic small subunit ribosomal RNA", at positions 1470 to 1796 of the family's 1831-position model. The record is from RNAcentral.